ACGAACGCUGGCGGCGUGCUUAACACAUGCAAGUCGAACGAAGCUCCGGAGCUUGCUCCGGAUGACUGAGUGGCGAACGGGUGAGUAACACGUGGGCAACCUGCCCCAGACUCUGGGAUAACCCCGAGAAAUCGGGACUAAUACCGGAUACGAACUCCGAGGACAUCCUCUGGAGUUGGAAAGUUUUUCGGUCUGGGAUGGGCCCGCGGCCUAUCAGCUAGUUGGUGGGGUAAUGGCCUACCAAGGCGACGACGGGUAGCCGGCCUGAGAGGGCGACCGGCCACACUGGAACUGAGACACGGUCCAGACUCCUACGGGAGGCAGCAGUGGGGAAUAUUGCACAAUGGGCGAAAGCCUGAUGCAGCGACGCCGCGUGAGGGACGAAGGCCUUCGGGUUGUAAACCUCUUUCAGCAGGGACGAAGCGAAAGUGACUGUACCUGCAGAAGAAGCACCGGCUAACUACGU
This 466-nucleotide ribosomal RNA is filed under the name uncultured bacterium. RNAcentral's name for it is "bacterial SSU rRNA". It matches the Rfam family "Bacterial small subunit ribosomal RNA", at positions 29 to 506 of the family's 1533-position model. The record is from RNAcentral.